UGCAGUCGAACGCGAAAGCGGCCUUCGGGCCGCGAGUAGAGUGGCAAACGGGUGAGUAACGCGUGGGUGACCUACCUUCGAAUGGGGGAUAACCUUCCGAAAGGAAGGCUAACACCGCAUGACGUCCCGCCCUUGGACGGGCGGUGACCAAAGCCGGGGAUCUUCGGACCCGGUGCUUGUUGACGGACCCGCGUCCGAUUAGCUUGUUGGUAGGGUAGCGGCCUACCAAGGCUGCGAUCGGUAGCCGGCCUGAGAGGGCGGACGGCCACACUGGGACUGAGAUACGGCCCAGACUUCUACGGGAGGCAGCAGUAGGGAAUUGUUCGCAAUGGGCGAAAGCCUGACGACGCAACGCCGCGUGGAGGACGAAAACCUUCGGGUCGUAAACUCCUGUCGAGCGGGAAGAACCGUCCGCGGGUCAAUACCCCGCGGGCCUGACGGUACCGCUAAAGGAAGCCCCGGCUAACUCCGUGCCAGCAGCCGCGGUAAUACGGGGGGGCAAGCGUUGUUCGGAUUUACUGGGCGUAAAGGGCUCGUAGGCUGCCGUUCAAGUCGGUUGUGAAAUCCCCAGGCUCAACUUGGGAACUGCAGCCGAAACUGGGCGGCUUGAAGCCGGGAGAGGGAUGCGGAAUUCCAGGUGUAGCGGUGAAAUGCGUAGAUAUCUGGAGGAACACCCGUGGCGAAGGCGGCAUCCUGGCCCGGUCUUGACGCUGAGGAGCGAAAGCUAGGGUAGCAAACGGGAUUAGAUACCCCGGUAGUCCUAGCCCUAAACGAUGAAUGC
RNAcentral lists this ribosomal RNA (781 nucleotides) under uncultured bacterium. Its description in RNAcentral is "bacterial SSU rRNA". It matches the Rfam family "Bacterial small subunit ribosomal RNA", at positions 56 to 816 of the family's 1533-position model. The record is from RNAcentral.